Molecule: small nuclear RNA, 107 nt
Filed under: Salvator merianae (Argentine black and white tegu)
Lineage: Eukaryota; Metazoa; Chordata; Lepidosauria; Squamata; Teiidae
Source: RNAcentral
GUGCUCGCUUUGACAGCACAUAUACUAAAAUUGGAAUGAUACAGAGAAGAUUAGCGUGGCCCCUGCACAAGGAUGACACACGGAUUUGUGGAGUGUUCCAUAUUUUU